RNAcentral lists this ribosomal RNA (1626 nucleotides) under Triticum aestivum (bread wheat). RNAcentral describes it as "partial small subunit ribosomal RNA". The record is from RNAcentral. Lineage: Eukaryota; Viridiplantae; Streptophyta; Magnoliopsida; Poales; Poaceae.
AUGAACUUGCAAGAACGGCGGCUCGCCUCAGUUGAUCAGGUCGGAGACCCAGCCGACGUCGGGGCCUCCCGCUCCGGCACCGACGACCUCGCAGCUGCGGGGCGCGGCACCGUCUCGGCUCAGCCGCUCGAACACCUUCUCCCGGAGCGCCCUCCCGGACUCCACCCUCUGGACUGGCUCCUCGUCGUCGAUGAAGCGGAGGUUCAGUGGCUCCAGGUUGGCCAUGAAGCUGGAAGCGCUAGUCUGGGUGCCCAUGGGGGUGGUGGGGAGGCUGUAGAGGCCGGCGGCCUUGGGCGAGCCGUAGGCAGCAGGGGAGGUGGGGUAGCCGGACCAUCCACCGGACGGGGACGCCUGCGCCUUGGCGAGGCGCAGCUGGCGGAGCGAGGCGAGGACGUCAUUGACGGGCGACCCGACACCGGGCCAAGAACCGCGGCGAUAGGAGGCGGCCCCGUCGGGAGACAAUGGCGGCGACUCGGAGGGGGGCGACUUGGGCGGCGAGGAGAGCAGGGUGCUGGUGGGCGAGGAGGACAUGAUGCUCUUGCUGAGGUAGCUCUCGAACGCCUGGCGGCGGAGCGGCGAGCCGUCGUAGGACUCGGCGAGCGGCGACAGGGGCGUGCUCCUGGGGCUGGAGUGCUGGGACGGCAUGGCACGGAGCUGGUCCGGGGUGUGCGCGAAGAAGCAGACGCGGCGGCGGCAGGCGGUGCCGUCCUUGCAGGGCUGCGUGCGGUAGCGCGCCGGGUGGAGCCAGCACUCGAAGACGCCGUGCGCGUACUCGCAGGCGUCCCCGCGCUUGCACCCGCCCUUGCGGAAGUCCGGGCAGGCGGUGCCGGAGUAGUGGUACUUGCGCGGGUCGCGGCGGCGCGCCUUCUCCCCCGGGUGCGCGAAGGGGCACUCGGUCCAGUCGUGGCUGCGGCCGCGCGCGCACCGGCGCACCUUGAAGUCGUACAUGCGGAACUCGUCGCAGGCGUAGGCGUCCACCGCCGCCGCCAUGGCCGCCGCCUCGUCCUCGUCCUCCGCGGCGCCCGCGCCCGCGCCGACAAGGUCGUUGCACGGCAGGUACUGGCGCAGCGCCGCGAACAGGAACGGCGUCUCGUCGCCUCCGCCGCCGGCGUCGACGCCGCUCACCGGGAGGUGGUUGCCCCACGGCGGCACGCUCACUCCCUCGCUCAUCAUCAUCAUGGCUGUAUGCUGGCUGCUCUGCUCGCUCUGCUCUAUGGGAAGAAGAGAUCUGCUAGUGGAGGACUGAGGCUGAGGCCUGUGGGUGGGUGUGGGACGGGUUGUGGAGAAGAACACCAAGCGGCGCGCGCUUAUAAACACCCAGGCCACGGGCGGAGUAGCAACGCGGUCGUACGAACUAACUGGCGCCGUUUGUGGGCAGCCACUCCGAGCACCUCACUGACACGUGGUCCCCACUAUAGGCUCAGGGCCCAGCGUCAGCGAGAGGGGAUGACGGGAGGCGGGGAUAAAGGCGCGGUACGGAGCGUUACACGCGGCGGGCGGGGAGGCAGGGUGUCAGGCAGGCGGGAGGCGAGGUGGCUCGAGGGGGCGUUGGGCCGGGGACACGUCGUGGCGUGGGGAGGGGAGGGAGCCCUACGAUCUUUAUUUAUUUUUGCCCUACGUGUAUAG